ACUCUCUUCCAACUUAUUUUUUUAGACUUCUAUGAUCUAAAAAUGUUUUAAAUAAAUAGGUAGGCUUAAGAUUAUAGCUUAUAAGCUGUUUGACUAGUCUAUAAGUUAAGAAAAAUAUAUUUUAAUAAUGAAACAAAAUUAUAAAGAUUAAUGAAAACCUAGAAAGGAUUUUAAAAAAUGCAGCCUUAUAAUAAUUUAUUUUGUACUCUAAAACUUCAAAAUUAUAUCCACCCAAAUCCUCAAUAUUCAAAGGCACAAAUCCUGCACACCCGGAAACAUGAAGACCAGGCCACGAAGUGAUCAUCAGAAAUAGGAUCGUCCCUUGCUGAGUACUGCCACAGCAAAUCCUGAACUAAUUGUCUCCCAUUGCUCAUCAAACAAAGAGUGCCUCAUGAGAUUUUUAGCUCUAAAGGAUGACAGAAUCUGCAUAAACAUGGUUUGCAAACACACAAACGAAGGUUUUGCAGUAAAUGUUGCAGAUUCUUCAUAAUGACAUUCCUGUUACAAUCAAAAUCAAGACUCAAAAUUACAGAAAAUAUAAAAACGCACACUCAAGAUGGGAUGGACAAAUCUCUCUUUCCAAAGGCACCAAAGUGCAGCAUUGAAAGCUACCACAUGCAGACAACAAGCAGGGUUGAAUUGAAUCUCGAGGUAGCCUUAUUAAUGUAAUGCCGAUGAUUGUACCAUCACUGAUGAUUUAUGAUUACAAAAGGUGAUUUAUGAUUACAAAUGGUAUGUGGGAAAUGGUAGGCCAAUAACCUCCUUCGUCUUUCCAAUGAGGACAUCCAAGGAUUCUUAGAGUUUCAAGUGUGGCAGGUAAGCCCUCCUCUGGCAAGGACAGGAAAUUUUGGCAAUUAUGAAUUAUUAACCUUUGUAGAGUAGUCAGCUUUUGGAUCCCUCUUGAGAUGGAUUUCAGAUUCUCGAGUUUACGGAUAUCUAGACUGGUCAAUGAAGUGGGAAGGAGUAGGCCAUCAUCAUCUGGAAAGGAAUCAAACAUAUUUGUACUUGGACUUGUGCCAUAUAUUUCCAACGUUCUAAGAGAGACGAGUUUGUGGAGUCCCCACUCUGUCAUCGGCUGUUCCAGAUUCUUGCAAUUCCUGAUGGAAAGAUUGGUUAGGUUUAGUGGCAUCGGAUUGGGCAGUGACCUCAAAUUCUCGCAUCCACGGAUGGCUAAAGAGAUAAGAGAGUGGAUAGCCAAUCCUGCUUCUUGGAAGGACUCUAAUUGUGGACAGUCUCCUAUGGUUAGAUUUCUGAGAUGAGAUAAACCACGGAAUACUGACUCUAAUAACUGUGUCGGCCAAUUACAUUCUUCACUGAUAUCAAGAGUCUUAAGUGAAACUGGAAACUCGCCAUUUGGACAGGACCUCAAAGAUCUACAUACGCUGAUACUCAAAUCCUCAAGCUGAGAGCUCUGGUUAAUGUCGUUAACAUCACACAUAAUACCCUUAGGCAGAGAAUCUAGAGAAACAUUUCUAAUAUA
Molecule: unclassified non-coding RNA, 1480 nt
Filed under: Hevea brasiliensis (rubber tree)
Lineage: Eukaryota; Viridiplantae; Streptophyta; Magnoliopsida; Malpighiales; Euphorbiaceae
Source: RNAcentral